Molecule: non-coding RNA, 136 nt
Organism: Gossypium hirsutum (cotton)
Lineage: Eukaryota; Viridiplantae; Streptophyta; Magnoliopsida; Malvales; Malvaceae
Source: Rfam
UGUUAAAAUUUUCAUCCGUUUCUACUAUUAAAAAUUGGUGUAGUUGAUAAAAUAACCAGCCACUUGUACCUCAUUCUGAUUUACUGACUUACAAGGACCCAAUUUGUAAUAGUAAAAAUAGAUUGAAAUUUUAGAA